Molecule: ribosomal RNA, 346 nt
Filed under: uncultured bacterium
Lineage: Bacteria
Description: partial 16S ribosomal RNA
Rfam family: Bacterial small subunit ribosomal RNA
Source: RNAcentral
CCUACGGGAGGCAGCAGUGAGGAAUAGUGGUCAAUGGACGAGAGUCUGAACCAGCCAAGUAGCGUGAAGGAUGACUGCCCUAUGGGUUGUAAACUUCGUUUAUAAAGGAAUAAAACGAGGCACGUGUGCCUUUUUGCAUGUACUUUAUGAAUAAGGAUCGGCUAACUCCGUGCCAGCAGCCGCGGUAAUACGGAGGAUCCGAGCGUUAUCCGGAUUUAUUGGGUUUAAAGGGAGCGUAGAGGGGUUGUUAAGUCAGUUGUGAAAGUUUGCGGCUCCACCGUAAAAUUGCAAUUGAUACUGGCAGUCUUGAGUACAGUUGCGUUCGGCGGAAUUCGUGGUGUCGCGG